This 253-nucleotide ribosomal RNA is filed under the name uncultured bacterium. RNAcentral describes it as "partial 16S ribosomal RNA". It matches the Rfam family "Bacterial small subunit ribosomal RNA", at positions 524 to 776 of the family's 1533-position model. The record is from RNAcentral.
UACGUAGGGGGCAAGCGUUAUCCGGAUUUACUGGGUGUAAAGGGAGCGUAGACGGUUCUGCAAGUCUGGAGUGAAAGCCCGGGGCUCAACCCCGGGACUGCUUUGGAAACUGUGGAACUGGAGUGCAGGAGAGGUAAGUGGAAUUCCUAGUGUAGCGGUGAAAUGCGUAGAUAUUAGGAGGAACACCAGUGGCGAAGGCGGCUUACUGGACUGUAACUGACGUUGAGGCUCGAAAGCGUGGGGAGCAAACAGG